CAGCCGCCGCGGUAAUACAGAGGGUGCAAGCGUUAAUCGGAAUUACUGGGCGUAAAGCGCGCGUAGGUGGUUUGUUAAGUUGAAUGUGAAAUCCCCGGGCUCAACCUGGGAACUGCAUCCAAAACUGGCAAGCUAGAGUAGGGCAGAGGGUGGUGGAAUUUCCUGUGUAGCGGUGAAAUGCGUAGAUAUAGGAAGGAACACCAGUGGCGAAGGCGACCACCUGGGCUCAUACUGACACUGAGGUGCGAAAGCGUGGGGAGCAAACAGGAUUAGAGACCCCGGUAGUCCCUGUCUCUUAUAC
RNAcentral lists this ribosomal RNA (301 nucleotides) under uncultured bacterium. Its description in RNAcentral is "partial 16S ribosomal RNA". It matches the Rfam family "Bacterial small subunit ribosomal RNA", at positions 509 to 807 of the family's 1533-position model. The record is from RNAcentral.